GUGAGAGUGGCGGAAGGGCGAGGAACACGUGGGCAACCUGUCGUCUGAGGUGGGGAAAACCGUUGGAAACGACGGCUAAUACCGAAUGUAGCGCCCGCUCGCAUGAGCGGAGCGCCAAAGGGGGCGAAAGCUCCCCCUCUCCGAGGGGCCCGCGCACCAUCAGCUUGUUGGCGGGGUAACGGCCCACAAGGCUCACGGUUAGCUGGUCUGAGAGGAUGGCCAGCCGCACUGGGACUGAGAUACUGCCCAGACUCCUACGGGAGGCUGCAGUCGAGGAUCAUUUGCAAUGGGCGAAAGCCUGACAAUGCGACGCUGCGUGGAGGAUGAAGGCCCUCGGGUUGUAAACUCCUGUCAUGGGGGAAAAGGAAAAGGGACCCAACACGUCCCCGAUUUGAUGGUACCCCAAGAGGAAGCGACGGCUAACUCUGUGCCAGCCGCGGC
RNAcentral lists this ribosomal RNA (441 nucleotides) under uncultured bacterium. RNAcentral describes it as "bacterial SSU rRNA". It matches the Rfam family "Bacterial small subunit ribosomal RNA", at positions 89 to 518 of the family's 1533-position model. The record is from RNAcentral.